CCUACGGGUGGCAGCAGUGAGGAAUAUUGGUCAAUGGGCUUACGCCUGAACCAGCCAAGUCGCGUGAGGGAAGACUGCCCUAUGAGUUGUAAACCUCUUUUGUCAGGGAGCAACGCCGGCUACGUGUAGCCGGACUGAGAGUACCUGAAGAAAAAGCAUCAGCUAACUCCGUGCCAGCAGCCGCGGUAAUACGGAGGAUGCGAGCGUUAUCCGGAUUUAUUGGGGUUAAAGGGUGCGUAGGCGGAAUGCCAAGUCAGCGGUAAAAUCGCGGGGCUCAACCUCGCUCCGCUGUUGAAACUGGCGUUCUUGAGUGGGCGAGAGGUAUGCGGAAUGCGUGGUGUAGCGGUGAAAUGCGUAGAUAUCAGGAAGAACUCCGAUUGCGAAGGCAGCAUACCGG
RNAcentral lists this ribosomal RNA (397 nucleotides) under uncultured bacterium. RNAcentral's name for it is "partial 16S ribosomal RNA". It matches the Rfam family "Bacterial small subunit ribosomal RNA", at positions 338 to 732 of the family's 1533-position model. The record is from RNAcentral.